ACAAAAAAAAUCAAGAUUUAAGGCUAGAUACAUGUAUUUUAUAGAGCACCUCAACAAAGUUCUCUAAUUGUACCUCCUCAUGGAGCUUGGAGAAGCCGGCGACCAUCUCCGCGGAGCCCCCUCCAACGGCAACGGUUGGUGGCGGCUUUCCGACGGCCGACAGUGAAGCUCCAACAGCCGACGGCGGUCCUCUAAAACGUGUGUGUCCCGCCCGUAGCAGUUGGGGGCAACACAGCCUCUCUGGCCAAGUCUGUUCAUUGAUGCAUCCUCUGUUCAGUCGGAGGAAGAUGAAGUGUCUGACGUGCGGGCCAGGGCGUCAAUGAGACAAAGGGUCAGGAAGAGCUCCUGCUUAUGGGUUGCUGUUGGGCGGCCACAAUAUUGGCCCUGGCUAGUAGACCCGCCAUGAAGCUCUUCCAGAUAUUUUUGUUGUUAGCAAUAGUGAGAUUUCAGAUACAAAGUAGAGGUGCUUCAAGGUCAAUCUGAUGCUCCAGAUCUGGGUUUUCAGAUUUGGAGCUAUCCCAAUAAACAAGCUCUUGUACUUGAACCAGAUGUAGAUGAAUGCGUGUCCUAACCUACAUAAUGUGACGCCUAUGCAAACUUUGAUUGUUAACCAUGAAGAAUCAGUACUAAAUUUUACAUGUGGUACUAUAAGAAAACAUCAU
Zea mays is the source of this 662-nucleotide long non-coding RNA. RefSeq lists it as uncharacterized. The transcript has 2 exons. The record is from RefSeq and is a predicted model, not a curated record. NCBI's taxonomy places the organism in Eukaryota, Viridiplantae, Streptophyta, Magnoliopsida, Poales, Poaceae.